RNAcentral lists this ribosomal RNA (496 nucleotides) under uncultured bacterium. RNAcentral describes it as "partial 16S ribosomal RNA". It matches the Rfam family "Bacterial small subunit ribosomal RNA", at positions 28 to 507 of the family's 1533-position model. The record is from RNAcentral.
GAUGAACGCUGGCGGCGUGCCUAAUACAUGCAAGUCGAGCGAACGGACGAGAAGCUUGCUUCUCUGAUGUUAGCGGCGGACGGGUGAGUAACACGUGGAUAACCUACCUAUAAGACUGGGAUAACUUCGGGAAACCGGAGCUAAUACCGGAUAAUAUUUUGAACCGCAUGGUUCAAAAGUGAAAGACGGUCUUGCUGUCACUUAUAGAUGGAUCCGCGCUGCAUUAGCUAGUUGGUAAGGUAACGGCUUACCAAGGCAACGAUGCAUAGCCGACCUGAGAGGGUGAUCGGCCACACUGGAACUGAGACACGGUCCAGACUCCUACGGGAGGCAGCAGUAGGGAAUCUUCCGCAAUGGGCGAAAGCCGACGGAGCAACGCCGCGUGAGUGAUGAAGGUCUUCGGAUCGUAAAACUCUGUUAUUAGGGAAGAACAUAUGUGUAAGUAACUGUGCACAUCUUGACGGUACCUAAUCAGAAAGCCACGGCUAACUACGUG